Molecule: ribosomal RNA, 478 nt
Filed under: uncultured bacterium
Lineage: Bacteria
Description: partial 16S ribosomal RNA
Rfam family: Bacterial small subunit ribosomal RNA
Source: RNAcentral
GAUGAACGCUGGCGGCGUGCUUAACACAUGCAAGUCGAACGAGAAAUGUAGACGGAAACUUUAGGGCGGAAGCCUUCAUUUCGAGUGGCGGACGGGUGAGUAACGCGUGGGUAACCUGCCUCAUACAGGGGGAUAACAGUUGGAAACGACUGUUAAUACCGCAUAAGACCACAGCAUCGCAUGAUGCGGGGGUAAAAACUCCGGUGGUAUGAGAUGGACCCGCGUUCGAUUAGCCAGUUGGCGGGGUAACGGCCCACCAAAGCGACGAUCGAUAGCCGAUCUGAGAGGAUGACCGGCCACAUUGAGACUGAGACACGACCCAAACGCCUACGGGAGGCAGCAGUGGGGAAUAUAGCACAAUGGGGGAAACCCAGAUGCAGCGACGCCGCGUGAGUGAAGAAGUAGUUCGGUAUGUAAAGCACUAUCAGCAGGGAAGAAAAUGACGGUACCUGAGGAAGAAGCCCCGGCUAACUACGUG